Molecule: ribosomal RNA, 782 nt
Filed under: Aeromonas taiwanensis
Lineage: Bacteria; Pseudomonadati; Pseudomonadota; Gammaproteobacteria; Aeromonadales; Aeromonadaceae
Description: partial 23S ribosomal RNA
Rfam family: Bacterial large subunit ribosomal RNA
Source: RNAcentral
UGGCAGUCAGAGGCGAUGAAGGACGUACUAACCUGCGAUAAGCCGUGAGCAGUCGGUAAGAGACAUUACGACUCACGGAUUUCCGAAUGGGGAAACCCACCUAGCAUAAGCUGGGUAUCGCUACGUGAAUACAUAGCGUAGCGAGGCGAACCGGGAGAACUGAAACAUCUAAGUACCCCGAGGAAAAGAAAUCAACCGAGAUUCCCUCAGUAGCGGCGAGCGAACGGGGAUUAGCCCUUAAGCAUCUUGGAAGUUAGUGGAACGGUCCUGGAAAGGCCGGCGAUACAGGGUGAUAGCCCCGUACACGAAAACAACCUUGAUGUGAAAUCGAGUAGGGCGGGACACGUGACAUCCUGUCUGAAUAUGGGGGGACCAUCCUCCAAGGCUAAAUACUCCUGACUGACCGAUAGUGAACCAGUACCGUGAGGGAAAGGCGAAAAGAACCCCUGUGAGGGGAGUGAAAUAGAACCUGAAACCGUGUACGUACAAGCAGUGGGAGCCCUUCGGGGUGACUGCGUACCUUUUGUAUAAUGGGUCAGCGACUUACAUUUUGUAGCGAGGUUAACCGUAUAGGGGAGCCGUAGGGAAACCGAGUCUUAACUGGGCGUCUAGUUGCAAGGUGUAGACCCGAAACCGGGUGAUCUAGCCAUGGGCAGGUUGAAGGUUGAGUAACAUCAACUGGAGGACCGAACCCACUAACGUUGCAAAGUUAGGGGAUGACCUGUGGCUGGGGGUGAAAGGCCAAUCAAACUCGGAGAUAGCUGGUUCUCCCCGAAAGCUAU